GUUGAAAUUUCUAAUAAUCCCUAUGAGGGAUUGAAAC
Non-coding RNA from Tolypothrix sp. PCC 7601, 37 nucleotides. The record is from Rfam. Lineage: Bacteria; Bacillati; Cyanobacteriota; Cyanophyceae; Nostocales; Tolypothrichaceae.